CCCUUAGAUGUUCUGGGCCGCACGCGCGCUACACUGAUGCAUUCAACAAGCCUAGCCUUGACCGAGAGGUCCGGGUAAUCUUUGAAACUGCAUCGUGAUGGGGCUAGAUUAUUGCAAUUAUUAAUCUUCGACGAGGAAUGCCUAGUAAGCGUGAUUCAUCAAAUCGCGUUGAUUACGUCCCUGCCCUUUGUACACACCGCCCGUCGCUCCUACCGAUUGAAUGUGUUGGUGAGGAGCUCGGAUUGGCAGCAGUUGGUGGUUCGCCACCGGCUAUUGCUGAGAAGUCCUCCAAACCGCCCCAUUUAGAGGAAGGAGAAGUCGUAACA
Molecule: ribosomal RNA, 326 nt
Filed under: uncultured eukaryote
Lineage: Eukaryota
Description: partial 18S ribosomal RNA
Rfam family: Eukaryotic small subunit ribosomal RNA
Source: RNAcentral